CGAACGGACGAGAAGCUUGCUUCUCUGAUGUUAGCGGCGGACGGGUGAGUAACACGUGGAUAACCUACCUAUAAGAGUGGGAUAACUUCGGGAAACCGGAGCUAAUACCGGAUGAUAUUUUGAACCGCAUGGUUCAAAAGUGAAAGACGGUCUUGCUGUCACUUAUAGAUGGAUCCGCGCUGCAUUAGCUAGUUGGUAAGGUAACGGCUUACCAAGGCAAGCGAUGCAUAGCCGACCUGAGAGGGUGAUCGGCCACACUGGAACUGAGACACGGUCCAGACUCCUACGGGAGGCAGCAUUAGGGAAUCUUCCGCAAUGGGCGAAAGCCCGACGGAGCAACGCCGCGUGAGUGAUGAAGGUCUUCGGAUCGUAAAACUCUGUUAUUAGGGAAGAACAUAUGUGUAAGUAACUGUGCACAUCUUGACGGUACCUAAUCAGAAAGCCACGGCUAACUACGUGCCAGCAGCCGCGGUAAUACGUAGGUGGCAAGCGUUAUCCGGAAUUAUUGGGCGUAAAGCGCGCGUAGGCGGUUUUUUAAGUCUGAUGUGAAAGCCCACGGCUCAACCGUGGAGGGUCAUUGGAAACUGGAAAACUUGAGUGCAGAAGAGGAAAGUGGAAUUCCAUGUGUAGCGGUGAAAUGCGCAGAGAUAUGGAGGAACACCAGUGGCGAAGGCGACUUUCUGGUCUGUAACUGACGCUGAUGUGCGAAAG
RNAcentral lists this ribosomal RNA (711 nucleotides) under uncultured Staphylococcus sp. RNAcentral's name for it is "bacterial SSU rRNA". It matches the Rfam family "Bacterial small subunit ribosomal RNA", at positions 63 to 759 of the family's 1533-position model. The record is from RNAcentral. Lineage: Bacteria; Bacillati; Bacillota; Bacilli; Caryophanales; Staphylococcaceae.